Molecule: non-coding RNA, 72 nt
Organism: Podarcis lilfordi (Lilford's wall lizard)
Lineage: Eukaryota; Metazoa; Chordata; Lepidosauria; Squamata; Lacertidae
Source: the annotation of a GenBank genome assembly
AGUGCUGUAGCUCAGAGGUAGAACACCUGCUUUGUAUGCAGAUAGUCCCAGGUUCAAUUCUCAGUGGCAUCU